GUGGGUGUAGCUCAGUUGGUAGAGUACCAGAAUGUGGAUCUGGAUGUCGCGGGUUCGAGACCCGUCACCCACC
RNAcentral lists this transfer RNA (73 nucleotides) under Treponema sp. RNAcentral's name for it is "tRNA-His". It matches the Rfam family "tRNA". Rfam says of the family: Transfer RNA (tRNA) molecules are approximately 80 nucleotides in length. Their secondary structure includes four short double-helical elements and three loops (D, anti-codon, and T loops). The record is from RNAcentral. RNAcentral also lists the same sequence under 3 other names. Lineage: Bacteria; Pseudomonadati; Spirochaetota; Spirochaetia; Treponematales; Treponemataceae.